GAACGCUGGCGGCGUGGAUAAGACAUGCAAGUCGAACGGGAGAAUUGCUAGCUUGCUAAUAAUUCUCUAGUGGCGCACGGGUGAGUAACACGUGAGUAACCUGCCUCUUAGUGGGGGAUAGCCCUGGGAAACCGGGAUUAAUACCGCAUACGAUUGAAAGAUCAAAGCAGCAAUGCGCUAGGAGAUGGGCUCGCGGCCUAUUAGUUAGUUGGUGAGGUAACGGCUCACCAAGGCGAUGACGGGUAGCCGGUCUGAGAGGAUGUCCGGCCACACUGGAACUGAGACACGGUCCAGACACCUACGGGUGGCAGCAGUCGAGAAUCAUUCACAAUGGGGGCAACCCUGAUGGUGCGACGCCGCGUGGGGGAAUGAAGGUCUUCGGAUUGUAAACCCCUGUCAUGUGGGAGCAAAUUAAAAAGAUAGUACCACAAGAGGAAGAGACGGCUAACUCUGUGCCAGCAGCCGCGGUAAUACAGAGGUCUCAAGCGUUGUUCGGAAUCACUGGGCGUAAAGCGUGCGUAGGCUGUUUCGUAAGUCGUGUGUGAAAGGCAGGGGCUCAACCCCUGGAUUGCACAUGAUACUGCGAGACUAGAGUAAUGGAGGGGGAACCGGAAUUCUCGGUGUAGCAGUGAAAUGCGUAGAUAUCGAGAGGAACACUCGUGGCGAAGGCGGGUUCCUGGACAUUAACUGACGCUGAGGCACGAAGGCCAGGGGAGCGAAAGGGAUUAGAUACCCCUGUAGUCCUGGCAGUAAACGGUGCACGCUUGGUGUGCGGGGAAUCGACCCCCUGCGUGCCGGAGCUAACGCGUUAAGCGUGCCGCCUGGGGAGUACGGUCGCAAGAUUAAAACUCAAAGAAAUUGACGGGGACCCGCACAAGCGGUGGAGUAUGUGGCUUAAUUCGAUGCAACGCGAAGAACCUUACCUGGGCUUGACAUGUAAUGAACAACAUGUGAAAGCAUGCGACUCUUCGGAGGCGUUACACAGGUGCUGCAUGGCCGUCGUCAGCUCGUGUCGUGAGAUGUUUGGUUAAGUCCAGCAACGAGCGCAACCCCUGUUGCCAGUUACCAGCACGUCAAGGUGGGGACUCUGGCGAGACUGCCCAGAUCAACUGGGAGGAAGGUGGGGACGACGUCAGGUCAGUAUGGCCCUUAUGCCCAGGGCUGCACACGUACUACAAUGCCCAGUACAGAGGGGGCCGAAGCCGCGAGGCGGAGGAAAUCCUGAAAACUGGGCCCAGUUCGGACUGUAGGCUGCAACCCGCCUACACGAAGCCGGAAACGCUAGUAAUGGCGCAUCAGCUACGGCGCCGUGAAUACGUUCCCGGGUCUUGUACACACCGCCCGUCACAUCAUGGAAGCCGGUCGCACCCGAAGUAUCUGAAGCCAACCGCAAGGAGGCAGGGUCCUAAGGUGAGACUGGUAACUGGG
This 1428-nucleotide ribosomal RNA is filed under the name uncultured organism. RNAcentral's name for it is "16S ribosomal RNA". It matches the Rfam family "Bacterial small subunit ribosomal RNA". The record is from RNAcentral.